UCAUGUUAUUGUUCAUAGUGAUCCAGGGUAUAUUUCACUACAGAUACAAGCUUUAAACCUCGUUUUUAUAACAUCACUGUACAACCUGCAUCACCUCACACCACAGGUCAUGAGACUGAUAGUUCACAUCUUUGCUGCAAUAUUCGCUUUGAACGUCCUGGGACGACCCUCCUUGCAGCUAGAGCAAUCAGUUCUGGAUCUAUUUCCAGAGUUCACUAGGUUGAAACAGGAUAUCAAGUCUGAACUAGCAUCUAUAAAGUCGAAGCUUCAGAGUGGACAAGAUAAGAGAGUUGCAUUUCAUGCAAAACUACAACCAAGGGUUGAAAUUAUGGAGCC
Molecule: long non-coding RNA, 336 nt
Organism: Mytilus californianus (California mussel)
Lineage: Eukaryota; Metazoa; Mollusca; Bivalvia; Mytilida; Mytilidae
Exons: 3
Source: RefSeq, a predicted model, not a curated record